This is a non-coding RNA of Sphaerobolus stellatus SS14, 71 nucleotides long. The record is from the annotation of a GenBank genome assembly. Lineage: Eukaryota; Fungi; Basidiomycota; Agaricomycetes; Geastrales; Sphaerobolaceae.
GCAUUAAUGGGGUAGUGGUAACCUUGGUCGUUACUAUUGACCAGCCGCAGGUUCGAUUCUUGCUUAAUAAA